Molecule: ribosomal RNA, 496 nt
Filed under: uncultured bacterium
Lineage: Bacteria
Description: partial 16S ribosomal RNA
Rfam family: Bacterial small subunit ribosomal RNA
Source: RNAcentral
GAUGAACGCUGGCGGCGUGCCUAAUACAUGCAAGUCGAGCGAACAGACGAGGAGCUUGCUCCUCUGACGUUAGCGGCGGACGGGUGAGUAACACGUGGAUAACCUACCUAUAAGACUGGGAUAACUUCGGGAAACCGGAGCUAAUACCGGAUAAUAUAUUGAACCGCAUGGUUCAAUAGUGAAAGACGGUUUUGCUGUCACUUAUAGAUGGAUCCGCGCCGCAUUAGCUAGUUGGUAAGGUAACGGCUUACCAAGGCAACGAUGCGUAGCCGACCUGAGAGGGGGAUCGGCAACACUGGAACUGAGACACGGUCCAGACUCCUACGGGAGGCAGCAGGAGGGAAUCUUCCGCAAUGGGCGAAAGCCUGACGGAGCAACGCCGCGGGAGUGAUGAAGGUCUUCGGAUCGUAAAACUCUGUUAUUAGGGAAGAACAAAUGUGUAAGUAACUAUGCACGUCUUGACGGUACCUAAUCAGAAAGCCACGGCUAACUACGU